GAGAAUCUAUCAACAAAUCAACUAUUUCUUUAACCAUACAUCCCACAAUUCCUGGUCGACCAUAAAAAUGAGAAAAUCAAGGGAUUUUCAUGCAAUCUUCAAAAACCUCUCAAGCCCUCCAUCCACUAUAAAUACCACAUUUCACUUCACUUUCCAUCAUACCUCAGCCAUCAUUCAUCUCUCAGUUCAUAUUCUCUCAUCUCCUUUCCUCUCAUUUUUACACAAAAAACCAUUCAUUCUCCCCA
This 245-nucleotide long non-coding RNA is filed under the name Gossypium barbadense (sea-island cotton). RNAcentral's name for it is "long non-coding RNA (GBAR_LNC015555)". Lineage: Eukaryota; Viridiplantae; Streptophyta; Magnoliopsida; Malvales; Malvaceae. The record is from RNAcentral.